UACAGAGGGUGCAAGCGUUGUUCGGAAUUAUUGGGCGUAAAGCGCGUGUAGGCGGCUUUGCAAGUCGGGUGUGAAAGCCCUCAGCUCAACUGAGGAAGUGCGCCCGAAACUGCAGAGCUUGAGUGCCGGAGAGGGUGGCGGAAUUCCCCAAGUAGAGGUGAAAUUCGUAGAUAUGGGGAGGAACACCAGUGGCGAAGGCGGCCACCUGGACGGUAACUGACGCUGAGACGCGAAAGCGUGGGGAGCAAACAGG
Molecule: ribosomal RNA, 253 nt
Filed under: uncultured bacterium
Lineage: Bacteria
Description: partial 16S ribosomal RNA
Rfam family: Bacterial small subunit ribosomal RNA
Source: RNAcentral